AAAAAGACAAACCCUGAUUUCCGUGUCCAACGUUUGACCGUCCGUCUUAUUUAAAAAAUUAUAAAAAAAUUAAAAAGAUAAGUCACGCAUAAAGUGUUAAUCAUGUUUUAUCAUCUAACAACAAUGAAAAUACUAAUUAUAAAAAAAUUUCAUAUAAGACGGACAGUCAAACGUUGGCACGGGAACCCACGGUUUGCCUUUUU
This 203-nucleotide microRNA precursor is filed under the name Oryza nivara. RNAcentral's name for it is "MIR812 microRNA precursor family". It matches the Rfam family "MIR812 microRNA precursor family". The record is from Rfam by way of RNAcentral. Lineage: Eukaryota; Viridiplantae; Streptophyta; Magnoliopsida; Poales; Poaceae.